Molecule: ribosomal RNA, 2892 nt
Filed under: Klebsiella pneumoniae
Lineage: Bacteria; Pseudomonadati; Pseudomonadota; Gammaproteobacteria; Enterobacterales; Enterobacteriaceae
Description: 23S ribosomal RNA
Rfam family: Bacterial large subunit ribosomal RNA
Source: RNAcentral
UUAAGCGACUAAGCGUACACGGUGGAUGCCCUGGCAGUCAGAGGCGAUGAAGGACGUGCUAAUCUGCGAAAAGCGUCGGUAAGGUGAUAUGAACCGUUAUAACCGGCGAUGUCCGAAUGGGGAAACCCAGUGUGAUUCGUCACACUAUCGUUAACUGAAUACAUAGGUUAACGAGGCGAACCGGGGGAACUGAAACAUCUAAGUACCCCGAGGAAAAGAAAUCAACCGAGAUUCCCCCAGUAGCGGCGAGCGAACGGGGAGCAGCCCAGAGUCUGAAUCAGCUUGUGUGUUAGUGGAACGGUCUGGAAAGUCCGACGGUACAGGGUGAUAGUCCCGUACACCAAAAUGCACAGGNUGUGAACUCGAAGAGUAGGGCGGGACACGUGGUAUCCUGUCUGAAUAUGGGGGGACCAUCCUCCAAGGCUAAAUACUCCUGACUGACCGAUAGUGAACCAGUACCGUGAGGGAAAGGCGAAAAGAACCCCGGCGAGGGGAGUGAAAAAGAACCUGAAACCGUGUACGUACAAGCAGUGGGAGCACCUUCGGGUGUGACUGCGUACCUUUUGUAUAAUGGGUCAGCGACUUAUAUUCUGUAGCAAGGUUAACCGUAUAGGGGAGCCGCAGGGAAACCGAGUCUUAACUGGGCGUUAAGUUGCAGGGUAUAGACCCGAAACCCGGUGAUCUAGCCAUGGGCAGGUUGAAGGUUGGGUAACACUAACUGGAGGACCGAACCGACUAAUGUUGAAAAAUUAGCGGAUGACUUGUGGCUGGGGGUGAAAGGCCAAUCAAACCGGGAGAUAGCUGGUUCUCCCCGAAAGCUAUUUAGGUAGCGCCUCGUGAACUCAUCUUCGGGGGUAGAGCACUGUUUCGGCUAGGGGGUCAUCCCGACUUACCAACCCGAUGCAAACUACGAAUACCGAAGAAUGUUAUCACGGGAGACACACGGCGGGUGCUAACGUCCGUCGUGAAGAGGGAAACAACCCAGACCGCCAGCUAAGGUCCCAAAGUCAUGGUUAAGUGGGAAACGAUGUGGGAAGGCACAGACAGCCAGGAUGUUGGCUUAGAAGCAGCCAUCAUUUAAAGAAAGCGUAAUAGCUCACUGGUCGAGUCGGCCUGCGCGGAAGAUGUAACGGGGCUAAACCAUGCACCGAAGCUGCGGCAGCGACACUAUGUGUUGUUGGGUAGGGGAGCGUUCUGUAAGCCUGCGAAGGUGUGCUGUGAGGCAUGCUGGAGGUAUCAGAAGUGCGAAUGCUGACAUAAGUAACGAUAAAGCGGGUGAAAAGCCCGCUCGCCGGAAGACCAAGGGUUCCUGUCCAACGUUAAUCGGGGCAGGGUGAGUCGACCCCUAAGGCGAGGCCGAAAGGCGUAGUCGAUGGGAAACAGGUUAAUAUUCCUGUACUUGGUGUUACUGCGAAGGGGGGACGGAGAAGGCUAUGUUAGCCGGGCGACGGUUGUCCCGGUUUAAGCAUGUAGGCUGGUUAUCCAGGCAAAUCCGGAUAAUCAAGGCUGAGGUGUGAUGACGAGGCACUACGGUGCUGAAGUAACAAAUGCCCUGCUUCCAGGAAAAGCCUCUAAGCAUCAGGUAACAUCAAAUCGUACCCCAAACCGACACAGGUGGUCAGGUAGAGAAUACCAAGGCGCUUGAGAGAACUCGGGUGAAGGAACUAGGCAAAAUGGUGCCGUAACUUCGGGAGAAGGCACGCUGGUGUGUAGGUGAAGUCCCUGCGGAUGGAGCUGAGACCAGUCGAAGAUACCAGCUGGCUGCAACUGUUUAUUAAAAACACAGCACUGUGCAAACACGAAAGUGGACGUAUACGGUGUGACGCCUGCCCGGUGCCGGAAGGUUAAUUGAUGGGGUUAUCCGUAAGGAGAAGCUCUUGAUCGAAGCCCCGGUAAACGGCGGCCGUAACUAUAACGGUCCUAAGGUAGCGAAAUUCCUUGUCGGGUAAGUUCCGACCUGCACGAAUGGCGUAAUGAUGGCCAGGCUGUCUCCACCCGAGACUCAGUGAAAUUGAACUCGCUGUGAAGAUGCAGUGUACCCGCGGCAAGACGGAAAGACCCCGUGAACCUUUACUAUAGCUUGACACUGAACAUUGAGCCUUGAUGUGUAGGAUAGGUGGGAGGCUUUGAAGCGUGGACGCCAGUCUGCGUGGAGCCAACCUUGAAAUACCACCCUUUAAUGUUUGAUGUUCUAACGUUGGCCCCUGACCGGGGUUGCGGACAGUGUCUGGUGGGUAGUUUGACUGGGGCGGUCUCCUCCCAAAGCGUAACGGAGGAGCACGAAGGUUAGCUAAUCCUGGUCGGACAUCAGGAGGUUAGUGCAAUGGCAUAAGCUAGCUUGACUGCGAGCGUGACGGCGCGAGCAGGUGCGAAAGCAGGUCAUAGUGAUCCGGUGGUUCUGAAUGGAAGGGCCAUCGCUCAACGGAUAAAAGGUACUCCGGGGAUAACAGGCUGAUACCGCCCAAGAGUUCAUAUCGACGGCGGUGUUUGGCACCUCGAUGUCGGCUCAUCACAUCCUGGGGCUGAAGUAGGUCCCAAGGGUAUGGCUGUUCGCCAUUUAAAGUGGUACGCGAGCUGGGUUUAGAACGUCGUGAGACAGUUCGGUCCCUAUCUGCCGUGGGCGCUGGAGAAUUGAGGGGGGCUGCUCCUAGUACGAGAGGACCGGAGUGGACGCAUCACUGGUGUUCGGGUUGUCAUGCCAAUGGCACUGCCCGGUAGCUAAAUGCGGAAGAGAUAAGUGCUGAAAGCAUCUAAGCACGAAACUUGCCCCGAGAUGAGUUCUCCCUGAGACUUUAAGUCUCCUGAAGGAACGUUNGACGUUGAUAGGCCGGGUGUGUAAGCGCAGCGAUGCGUUGAGCUAACCGGUACUAAUGAACCGUGAGGCUUAACCUU